AGGAUCUUGGACUGCUGCACCGUCCGUGCUUCAGUUGAAUGCGGAAUCGUUUUUUGUUGCUCGUUGCCGUCUGUGGGUGUUCUGGGCGGAUGAGUGUUCUGCUUGCGGCCCUUCAUAUUGUUAUUUUCUGGAAGUUUGAGUGACGCUCCGUCGCAAUCUGGUUGCGGAAGUGAAGCGCUUUCGUUCGUCAGGUGGCGUUUAGAUUUGUGGGACUACCAAUCGUCCGGGUCAACGUUACCAGAAUAGCAGACGCCGGACAGGAACCACCCGGCCGUUAUCGGGAGCAGGUGCUUCUCCCUGGCUUGAAGUCAGGUAAGGUUCUCCCAUUCAGUCCCCAACAUUUCACUGAAUGUCUGCGCUGAGUUCUAGUAGUAGGGAUAUCACCGUAUUUUUUUCUUUCGUAGUAAACCAAGAAAACUGUUUGUUUUCGGGAAGAACUAUAGUACAGGAGAUAGCACAGAAAAUUUGGAUGAAAAAUCUUGAAGGAUACCAUAGAUAUGAGGCGUCAAAGUCAUACGCCAACCUUCAUCAUGAUGUAUGCGGAAUGCCAUACUACUGUGGCACCAACAGGGUUUUCCGGAAAGCCUAGCAAAUGCUUAGCAACAUUACAAUAUUGUCAGAAUGCUAUGAAAUCUGGCUUGUAGGUGCAAUAUAGGUGUAAUAUAGGUGCAAUACAGGUUGGUUAGUCCUAAUAUUGACCAAAAUAUAAUAUUUCGGCAAGCGAUGACCAAUGAGAACGAGCGCGGCGACCGUAGCAACCACCAUAGCAACAAUGCUAAAUCCAUUGAACACGAGUCCCAUUACUAUGAAAUUGAAGUGAGCACUGAUGGCUAUGGUUGUAUUAUACAUGUACAAAUAAUAAAUACAGCAGUUUGGUCUUCAGAUGCCCAACUUUACUGCGGCUGUCACACAGUUGAUCAAUCAUGUACAUGUACAUUUUACAUGUAAAAUGCACAAUAGUGAAAUAUGCGUACAAUCCAAUCACUGACGCGAUCCAUGUCAGAGCACCACUCCAUAGCAAUUUCUUUCUGGUUUCAAGGCGACGAGUCGAAUACAAAAUCAUAGCUCACUUUGUCGCAAUAGCGAAAGUCUCCGUCAGGUGCAAUCUUUCACUAGGGCCAACAAAUCAUCUGAAACACUCCUAGCGCUUGAACAUAUUGGGUCCAGAAAUUCAUUCCUUUUGGGCGACCAGGAGGUGAAAGUCUUGAAAGCGCGAUGAAGAGCGAUCCCCCAGCUCGAGAAGAAAGCACUAUUCUACAUAAUUCGAGGUCGCUGAACACGAUGGUGGGUGUUUCCUGGCCGUGUACUCCCUCCAAACGGAUGAAAAAUCCAAUUGAAAACUACACUCCUCACAACAAAAAGCUCAAACUACAGUUGCCCAAGCAAGUGCGGCACCAAAACGAGCAGGAAGACCUCAGCUAUCAAACGCACCAACUUUCAACUUUGAAAAGAAAGCAGGACAAAGCAAUUCGACAAAAACUGCAGCGAAGUCCAUGGUGCCACCGCUACCAUGCUAAUGUACGUGACCCGCGUGAAGGCUGUUUUCAGCUGAUUUGUCACGUGACUGAACUCCCUACUAGUAGUACAGCAGCCCUAACCCAUAACCAUGGUAACGAUUUAUUGGAAAAGGUUUCUGCUGAUGUACAGUACUCCGUGUCGUGUGCUCACAUUUGUCCGCAUGCUAUUGUAUUGUUCGUAGUGAAGCGCAGCAACGGCAACUUAAACGAGAAGGUAUUUCGGCUGCUGCAAUAUCCCCUCACUCUCAAUCCGUGUGCUUUACAAGCAGAGAAAAUUAGUCGAUGAAUAAUUUCGUCAAAUUCCAAAGGAAGGACUUCUUCCAAUCGGAAACGGUGACCAUUCAGCAGAAAAACAAAAUUUCACAUGUACAUGGUUAUGGCUCAUGAGUGCACAAUUAGUUACAGGGCUGCCACACUUGGAGGGAGAAAAUCUGACGGGGUGCCGGGGUGUCCCCCGCUUGGGGGCAGGGGGCACGGCCCUCUUGGUGAAAAUAUUUAGGAAAAUGGCUUGCUGUUGGGGCCCCAGAACACAUUUGUAACUGUGCAGCACACGUGCUACAACCAUGUCAAUUAUGAAUAAAUGGCCAACUGGACUAAAAAGCGCUCAAAAUAUAAUAAUCGGUUGUCCCUCUUUGCGGAACAAAAUCGGUCGCUUUGUCGGACAGGCGAUCAAAAAUCGGAGUAAGUGGCAGCCCUAAGUUAUAUUCAUUGCCAUUUUACGACUAUUGUCUCCUCGUAGGUUAUUGAAAUACUUUGAUCCGAUCUCUUUGUCAUUUUAGGGGGAAAUCCCUAUCUGUGUGCUCUUUGACCAACUGAGCACAUGAUAAUGACGUUGUUGGCUGAGGUUUGAAUCGCCUCGAAAAGAGCUUUCUGUGAUAGAGGAGAGUGGAAUGGCAUUGAUGGUGGAAUUUACUCGCAUAUUUGGCUUGGGGUGGACUUUGCUGUAAUCCCGCGCCUGAUUUGUGGCAGCUAGUUGAUGGAGUCUGGUAUGCUGGCGUUGCUCUCACCCGGAGCUUUCCAAAGAGCCUAAGAUUGUGGAAAUGCAGUGAAAGAGGUCAAAGUUGUAGCCUGUUGAAGGUGUAAAGUGUGCAGAAAAUAUAAAUUCUGUUUCAUUCUGUGCUGGAAAUCAGUACAUAAAGGGAUAUUUAUUUAUUUUUGCUUCGUUUUGUUUCCCUACCAUGGCUGGCUGCCGCCCCUCCCUCCAUAUUGGCCUAUAUUCUCUGGCCACGGGAAGGUGAAUAAAUAACUGAUGCAACAUGCAUGGUGUGCGACAAUACCAUACCAGUAAAGAAGCUGGUCAAAUAGUGAAAUAGGGCUUUCAACGCAAGGAUCAUAACGUGAAGCAAGUUGGUAGGAUGAGUAUGUAUGCGAAGUGUAUGGAAGGAAUGCAUGCAAGGAGAAAGUUCAUGUUCCAAUACCACGUUAUGUGUGCGAACAAUUGGAAAAAUGAAGAAAAAAACCCGAUAAGCUAGCACCACAGCAUAAUAAUAAUUACUCCGUAAAAUGUACCUGACCUGUCAGUGUGUGUUCAGGAUCAAACCCCGUGUUAUGUAUGAAAAAAUGACAAAAAUGAAAAUCUAGCACCAUACACCCUAACUACUCGAUUCAGCCUCUGGGAAAUCCAGAUAAAUAAUAAUUGGUUUACAAAUCAAUUGGCUGGAAAGCCCAGUGCCCUCCCUAUGCUUUGCUUUCACCUAGGCCAUCAUGCUUCUUACUUCAGUUUCCUAAUCAUCAAUUUCUAUAAAACUGAUAGAAACGUCUUUUCAAUAUGAUUAUCAAGUACAUCUUCAUGUAUGUUUUUUGCGAAGACGUUUCUAUUAGUUGCACAGAAAAAGAGGAUUUCUUAUGGUAUGCAAGCUCCACUGCACAGCACAGCACUCCACAGCAAACGCGACGCAGCUCACCAGAUCAAGGUGUGGGUCCUCUUCCGGUGCCGAAAGGCGGGCUCACACCCCUACAUAGCUACUUCCCAUUGUCUAACCCCCACCAAAAAAACAUUGUUGGGCUUGGUGUGGGCUGUGCAGUAUUUCCGUUGGUACCUGCUUGGUAGAAAAUUUGAAUUUGUUAUAUGCACAGCGACCAUUCUCUGGAACAUUUGGCUAACUUUCAACAUCCACCGGCGAUUGUGGCUCGCUGGCUGGAAUUUUUGUCUGAAUGUGAGUUCACCAUAUUGUACAGGGCAGGUCGAUCACACGCUAACGCUGGCAACAUCCCCACACCCCUCAUCCGCCGUUUCAACUGGCCGUGGUCAAGAUGGGAAACGGAACAGGAGAAGGACCGAGAUCUCGCCCAAGUAGUGUCCUGGCUAGGUAUGGACUCUCCGCCUUGCCCGCAGGACAUGAUGGGUAGCAGUCCUGAGUGUUUGCUUUCUGCUUGGCAUAGAUAAGACCAGGACAACUACGUACCAUCCACAGAGUGACGGUCUGCUUGAAAGAUUCAACCAGACGCUUGAGCGUGGCCUGGCGCACUAUGUCUGCAGGAAUCAUCGCGAUUGGGCCAUCAAGUUGCCAGCCUUCUUGAUGGGAUACCGCUCGUUGCCGCAGACUAGUACCGGCUACAGUCCAAGCUAUCUACUCUUUGGUCAAGAGUUAUGCCUACCUCAAGACUUGGCAUCUGGAUUACCGCCAGGAGCAGCAUCCGCAGUAUCGUCACAGCCGGAAUUUGUGAGUGCUCUCCGCCGACGCCUGGAGGACGCUCAUGCACAGGUCCGGGAACACCUGGGCAACGUGCACCGUUAUCAAGCGCAUAUCCGUGAUCGCUACGCUAAGGCCUUGACGUUUGCAGCAGGUUACGCAGUGUGGCUUCUGGUGUCAACUAUACCGACGGGUACAACCGCCAAGUUUGCUAGACUUUGGGACGGACCGUACCUAGUCGAGGAGAAGCUCUCAGCCGUCACCUACCGCAUCAAACUAUCUGAGCCCACGGCACGUCGGCUGAUAGUGCAUGUCAACCGGCUGAAAAGUUGCCAUCAUCGACCGAGUCGGCUGCAGGAGGUUCACGAGCAAGAUGAGUCGGACCCACCGCAGCCCAUGGCAUCCACCCUGACUCCGUCCUACCAGCCUGAUGCCACUGAUACCGCCGCCCGAGACGAGGGGGACACCGCUCGGGUAUUUGGCAGUGCUCCGCCAGUUGGCGUGAUGGAAAGGCGAACUCCGCGUUCCCGCCAUCCGCCCCAGCUGUUUGGGAGUCCUGUGUGGCACGAGUAAGUGACUUCAGUGGUAUUGACUGGAUUUGUGGUGUUCGAUAUUACAGUUAGUCUUUGAACAGAUUUUGAUAAGAACUCCAAUUUGACCUGCACUCGUUUAGUUUAAUUGUUAGCCAUAAUCUUAGUCUAAUUUAUAACGUUACUUAUAACACGAGGACGUGUUCUUUUCCGUGUAAGCGGGGGGAUAUGUCGUAUCCAUACUAUUGACACGUGCCUUGUAGGCCUCUACGUGACAAGUCUGCCUUAUUUAGGUGUCUAAUUAUUUAUCUAUCUCCCAUAAACAUAAUCGUCUUUAUUUUAUGUCUUCACGCAAGGCCUGGGGCCUUCCUUAUUUGGUAUACGCUGUUAUUUCCCCACCUAGCUCCCGCUCUUUAUGCAACAGUUUGUACACAUAUUUACUACGGUUUGAUACGCUAUUGCAUGCGGGACCAGCAAUCUGGUGGCCAUGGACUUCCAUGGCCGCAGUUGGAUAGUAUUGCCAUCACCUUCCUUUUCUCUCUAUCUGUCUUGCCUUGUGCUCUUCAUUAUCUUCUCUUGAACUAAGUUACAUGUACCCUGCUGUGAAGAUGUGAGUAAACCUGAA
Long non-coding RNA from Sycon ciliatum, 5305 nucleotides. RefSeq lists it as uncharacterized. The record is from RefSeq and is a predicted model, not a curated record. Lineage: Eukaryota; Metazoa; Porifera; Calcarea; Leucosolenida; Sycettidae. The transcript is spliced from 2 exons.